This 253-nucleotide ribosomal RNA is filed under the name uncultured bacterium. RNAcentral describes it as "partial 16S ribosomal RNA". It matches the Rfam family "Bacterial small subunit ribosomal RNA", at positions 524 to 776 of the family's 1533-position model. The record is from RNAcentral.
UACGGAGGGUCCAAGCGUUAUCCGGAUUUAUUGGGUUUAAAGGGUGCGCAGGCGGAACUUUAAGUCAGUGGUGAAAUCUUGCCGCUUAACGGUAAAAUUGCCAUUGAUACUGAAGUUCUUGAAUGUAGUUGAGGUAGGCGGAAUGUGUUGUGUAGCGGUGAAAUGCAUAGAUAUGACACAGAACGCCAAUUGCGAAGGCAGCUUACUAAGCUACUAUUGACGCUGAGGCACGAAAGCGUGGGGAGCGAACAGG